This 438-nucleotide ribosomal RNA is filed under the name uncultured bacterium. Its description in RNAcentral is "bacterial SSU rRNA". It matches the Rfam family "Bacterial small subunit ribosomal RNA", at positions 29 to 511 of the family's 1533-position model. The record is from RNAcentral.
AGCGAACGCUGGCGGCAGGCCUAACACAUGCAAGUCGAACGGAUCCUUCGGGAUUAGUGGCGGACGGGUGAGUAACACGUGGGAACGUGCCUUUUGGUUCGGAACAACGCAGAGAAAUUUGCGCUAAUACCGAAUGUGCCCUUCGGGGAAGGAUUAUCGCCAUUAGAGCGGCCCGCGUCUGAUUAGCUAGUUGGUGAGGUAAAGGCUCACCAAGGCUACGAUCAGUAGCUGGUCUGAGAGGAUGAUCAGCCACAUUGGGACUGAGACACGGCCCAAACUCCUACGGGAGGCAGCAGUGGGGAAUCUUGCGCAAUGGGCGAAAGCCUGACGCAGCCAUGCCGCGUGAAUGAUGAAGGUCUUAGGAUUGUAAAAAUUCUUUCACCGGGGACGAUAAAUGACGGUACCCGGAGAAGAAGCCCCGGCGUAACUUCGUGCCAG